RNAcentral lists this ribosomal RNA (700 nucleotides) under uncultured beta proteobacterium. Its description in RNAcentral is "bacterial SSU rRNA". It matches the Rfam family "Bacterial small subunit ribosomal RNA", at positions 72 to 769 of the family's 1533-position model. Lineage: Bacteria; Pseudomonadati; Pseudomonadota; Betaproteobacteria. The record is from RNAcentral.
CGCGGACUUCGGUCUGGCGGCGAGUGGCGGACCGGUGAGUAAUGUAUCGGAACGCACCCAGUAGCGGGGGAUAACUACUCGAAAGAGUAGCUAAUACCGCAUACGCCCUACGGGGGAAAGGGGGGAUCUUAUGACCUCUCACUAUUGGAGCGGCCGAUAUCGGAUUAGCUAGUUGGUGGGGUAAAGGCCUACCAAGGCGUCGAUCCGUAGCUGGUUUGAGAGGACGACCAGCCACACUGGGACUGAGACACGGCCCAGACUCCUACGGGAGGCAGCAGUGGGGAAUUUUGGACAAUGGGGGCAACCCUGAUCCAGCCAUCCCGCGUGUGCGAUGAAGGCCUUCGGGUUGUAAAGCACUUUUGGCAGGAAAGAAAUUGCAUGGGUUAAUACCCUGUGUAGAUGACGGUACCUGCAGAAUAAGCACCGGCUAACUACGUGCCAGCAGCCGCGGUAAUACGUAGGGUGCAAGCGUUAAUCGGAAUUACUGGGCGUAAAGCGUGCGCAGGCGGUUCGGAAAGAAAGAUGUGAAAUCCCAGGGCUUAACCUUGGAACUGCAUUUUUAACUGUCGAACUAGAGUGCGUCAGAGGGGGGUGGAAUUCCGCGUGUAGCAGUGAAAUGCGUAGAUAUGCGGAGGAACACCGAUGGCGAAGGCAGCCCCCUGGGAUGACACUGACGCUCAUGCACGAAAGCGUGGGGAGC